Fundulus heteroclitus (mummichog) is the source of this 333-nucleotide long non-coding RNA. RefSeq lists it as uncharacterized. The transcript has 2 exons. NCBI's taxonomy places the organism in Eukaryota, Metazoa, Chordata, Actinopteri, Cyprinodontiformes, Fundulidae. The record is from RefSeq and is a predicted model, not a curated record.
GGUGGGGUGGAUGUUCACCCUGCUGCCGCUACUGGUACUGCUGGUUCCGAUCGUGUCGGACAAACUGGACCCAACACGAGAAGGAUGGAUGUGACAGUCGUCCUUGGCAGUCUGCACGACUUGCACGUACGCGGUUGCUCUCCCACUACCACCAGUGGGUAAGUCCCACCUCCACACACCUCCUCCCAGUCAGACCGGCCCAGAGAGCGGAGGAGGAGGAGGAGGAGGAAGUGUGGAGCCACAACAGCGAGAACUGUGGAGGAGAUGCUACACUGAGGAAGAGGAGGAUGGUGGUGAUGAUGGUGCACGAUGAUUAAAGAUUAAAACAUGUUA